This 253-nucleotide ribosomal RNA is filed under the name uncultured bacterium. RNAcentral describes it as "partial 16S ribosomal RNA". It matches the Rfam family "Bacterial small subunit ribosomal RNA", at positions 524 to 776 of the family's 1533-position model. The record is from RNAcentral.
UACAGAGGUCCCAAGCGUUGUUCGGAUUCACUGGGCGUAAAGGGCGCGUAGGUGGUUCUGUAUGUCUACCGUGAAAGCAUACAGCUCAACUGUAUUUUGUCGGUAGAAACUGCAGGACUUGAGGCUGGGAGGGGCUGGUGGAAUUCCCUGUGUAGCGGUGAAAUGCGUAGAGAUGGGGGAGAACACUCGUGGCGAAGGCGGCCAGCUAGACCAGUUCUGACACUGAGGCGCGACAGCGUGGGGAGCAAACAGG